This 406-nucleotide ribosomal RNA is filed under the name uncultured bacterium. RNAcentral's name for it is "partial 16S ribosomal RNA". It matches the Rfam family "Bacterial small subunit ribosomal RNA", at positions 30 to 526 of the family's 1533-position model. The record is from RNAcentral.
AUUGAACGCUGGCGGCAGGCCUAACACAUGCAAGUCGAACGAGUGGCGGACGGGUGAGUAAUGUAUGGGAAACUGCCCGGUGGAGGGGGAUAACUACUGGAAACGGUAGCUAAUACCGCAUACCAGCGGAUGUGCACAGAUGGGAUUAGCUAGUCGGUGGGGUAAUGGCUCACCUAGGCGACGAUCACUAGCUGGUCUGAGAGGAUUACCAGACACACUGGAACUUAGACACGGUCCAGACGCCUACGGGAGGCAGCAGUGGGGAAUAUUGCACAAUGGGCGCAAGCCUGAUGCAGCCAUGCCGCGUGUAUGAAGAAGGCCUUCGGGUUGUAAAGGACUUUCAUCGAGGAGGCGUUACUCGCAGAAGAAGCACCGGCUAACUCCGUGCCAGCAGCCGCGGUAAUUC